RNAcentral lists this ribosomal RNA (468 nucleotides) under uncultured bacterium. RNAcentral's name for it is "partial 16S ribosomal RNA". It matches the Rfam family "Bacterial small subunit ribosomal RNA", at positions 28 to 507 of the family's 1533-position model. The record is from RNAcentral.
GACGAACGCUGGCGGCGUGCUUAACACAUGCAAGUCGAACGGAAAGGCCCUGCUUUUGUGGGGUGCUCGAGUGGCGAACGGGUGAGUAACACGUGAGUAACCUGCCCUUGACUUUGGGAUAACUUCAGGAAACUGGGGCUAAUACCGGAUAGGAGCUCCUGCUGCAUGGUGGGGGUUGGAAAGUUUCGGCGGUUGGGGAUGGACUCGCGGCUUAUCAGCUUGUUGGUGGAGUAGUGGCUUACCAAGGCUGUGACGGGUAGCCGGCCUGAGAGGGGGACCGGCGACAUUGGGACUGAGAUACGGACCAGAAGCCUACGGGAGGCAGCAGUGGGGAAUAUUGCACAAUGAGCGGAAGCGUGAUGCAGCGACGCUGCGUGCGGGAUGACGGGCUUCGGGUUAUAAACCGCUAUCGCCUGUGACGAAGCGUGAGUGACGGUAAUGGGUAAAGAAGCACCGGCUAACUACGUG